GGGCAGCAUGGUCUUAGCUUGCUAAGGCCGAUGGCGACUGGCGCACGGGUGAGUAACACGUAUCCAACCUGCCGUCUACUCUUGGACAGCCUUCUGAAAGGAAGAUUAAUACAAGAUGGCAUCAUGAGUCCGCAUGUUCACAUGAUUAAAGGUAUUCCGGUAGACGAUGGGGAUGCGUUCCAUUAGAUAGUAGGCGGGGUAACGGCCCACCUAGUCUUCGAUGGAUAGGGGUUCUGAGAGGAAGGUCCCCCACAUUGGAACUGAGACACGGUCCAAACUCCUACGGGAGGCAGCAGUGAGGAAUAUUGGUCAAUGGGCGAGAGCCUGAACCAGCCAAGUAGCGUGAAGGAUGACUGCCCUAUGGGUUGUAAACUUCUUUUAUAAAGGAAUAAAGUCGGGUAUGGAUACCCGUUUGCAUGUACUUUAUGAAUAAGGAUCGGCUAACUCCGUGCCAGCAGCCGCGGUAAUACGGAGGAUCCGAGCGUUAUCCGGAUUUAUUGGGUUUAAAGGGAGCGUAGAUGGAUGUUUAAGUCAGUUGUGAAAGUUUGCGGCUCAACCGUAAAAUUGCAGUUGAUACUGGAUAUCUUGAGUGCAGUUGAGGCAGGCGGAAUUCGUGGUGUAGCGGUGAAAUGCUUAGAUAUCACGAAGAACUCCGAUUGCGAAGGCAGCCUGCUAAGCUGCAA
RNAcentral lists this ribosomal RNA (683 nucleotides) under uncultured Bacteroidales bacterium. Its description in RNAcentral is "bacterial SSU rRNA". It matches the Rfam family "Bacterial small subunit ribosomal RNA", at positions 67 to 739 of the family's 1533-position model. The record is from RNAcentral. Lineage: Bacteria; Pseudomonadati; Bacteroidota; Bacteroidia; Bacteroidales.